UUUAAUAGCUGCAGUAAUUUGACUGUACAAAGGUAGCAUAAUCAAUAGUUUUUUAAUUAGAAGCUUGUAUGAAGGGCUGGACGAGAUAAAAUCUGUCUUUAUUUAAUUAUAGUAGAAUUUAAUUUUUAAGUUAAAAAGCUUAAAUAUUAAUAAUAGACGAGAAGACCCUAUAGAGUUUUAUAUUUUUAUUAAUAAUAUUUAAUUUGGAUUUAUUUAUUUUAUUUUUAAUAAAAUAUUUUAUUGGGGUAAUAUAAAGAUUAAAUUAAUUCUUUUUAUUUAUAAAUAUUAAUUUAUAUAUAAUUGAUCUAUAAAUUUUGAUUAAAAGAAUAAGUUACCUUAGGGAUAACAGCGUAAUUUUUUUUGAGAGUUCAUAUCGAUAAAAAAGUUUGCGACCUCGAUGUUGGAUUAAAGAUUAGUUUAAAUGCAAAAGUUUAAAUUUUUGGUCUGUUCGACCAUUAAAUCUUUACAUGAUCUGAGUUCAGACCGGUUUAAGCCAGGUCGGUUUCUAUCUUUAUUUAAUUAUAAUAUUUUAGUACGAAAGGACCAAAUAUUAAUUAUAAUAAUUUAAUUUUGAACUUUAUU
This 582-nucleotide ribosomal RNA is filed under the name Microcharidius diecki. RNAcentral describes it as "partial large subunit ribosomal RNA". The stretch from base 342 to 500 matches the Rfam family "Bacterial large subunit ribosomal RNA", at positions 2473 to 2632 of the family's 2925-position model. Lineage: Eukaryota; Metazoa; Arthropoda; Insecta; Coleoptera; Carabidae. The record is from RNAcentral.